GACAACUUAUUUUCAUAGUAAAACAGGUUGGGCCCCAUACAGGAUAUCUCUCACACACACACUCACUUAAAUCAUCCAGAACACUGUCACAACAGGAUACUCCUAGCCACAGGUGCUAGCCGGCAGUUCGGCCACAACUCCCCUGAAGAUAGGGACGCACACACAUUACACACGGACUCUUGAGGACAGGACAGGGACGCAUACGCUCUUACACACUGACCCCAGAAGACAGGGACGACGCACAUACAGUACACACAUAGCUGCCGAGGACACCCAGAUAAGACACCCACAGAUUGGCAGAAAGCCUAGACUUAGAGACAAACUAGCACACACACAUAAUCUCCCUUCCUAGCCGAACAUUGUGUGACUGAGAACAGCCCGACGAGACCCGGAGGAACGACGGACGGCUCAACAGGACCAAUCCAAGAAGACAACACCUCAACUGUGGCCAACCAAAAGACCGUGACUUCCAGACUCAACCUACUUUCUGUACUGUACAUAACAUGCUUGCAAUCUGUUAUCGGGGCUUCUUUCUGCUGGUUACUUGUGAGCCAAAUGAAUGAGCCCGUAUACGUUGUACCAGAUAUCUUUACUCUGAAUAAACUGUCGCUUGUCAUAUAAUUGACCACCUUGUCCGAAUCGAUCCUUGACCGACUCGCCCUAUCUACAUAUCCCAUUAUCAACAAAAAUGGUAGCAGAGGAUGGUUAACUAACGACCCAGUCCAGAGUGGUUGAUGUGGGUGUGGGGGGCGAGUUGGUGAAGGGACGGUUCCCGGAGGACAGGUGAAGACAUUCGGGGGGAGGACAACAAUUCUGCUCAACUCGGGAAACUGAUCACAAGGGUCGACCUUAAACAAGGUAAGCAAAACCUGUUAAAUCAAACUUUGCAUAUUGUCGUAUAGUCUAUCCAAAUUUUGAUCAGUAUGACCGAGUGAGUAUGAAUUCUUGACUAAAUUUAUAUACACGAAUGACAAGUUAACGAUAGUGAAGUAAAAAUAUGUGGUAUUAAAUCUAUCCAUUAAACCCGGUAGCGGCCGGUCUGUCUAUAAUACAGUAGGGGAUAGAUUUUAUUUUUUUCCACGGAAGAGUUGUGUACCCGUGUCGAAUAAUUAGAGAAUACGGAAGAGCUGUGUGCCCUGUAUUAAAAAAAAAAUACAUUUCCACGGUGGAGCUGUGUGCCCCGUGUGUCCUGUUGACGCGUUGUGUACGGUCAAGGAGGUAAAUUAAAUCAUUUUAUUCCACGGAGGAGCUGUGUGUCCCGUGUGUAAACAUUAAUAGGUAACCAGUUUUGUAUUACUGCCGCGUGCCCUGUUUUGGGUUUUAGAUAUGUUUGAUAUAUUUACUAAAACAUACAAUACAUGACAAAUGGUGACCCCGACGUGAUCUGGUAAAAAGACAUCGCUGGACAUUGGUGUGCCAGCCGAUUGGCCAGUACUGUCAUCGGACGGUGUGUCUCACAAAUCCUGACCGGUCAACUAAAAAGGGUAAGCAGACACCUGUUGUGAAAAACUAAAGUUCUGCACAUUGGAGUUAUACAAAUUUAGUAUGAGGUUAAGAAAACCCUGAGAAGAAAGAACUGCAUUAUUUGUAGUCAUGCUAGACCUGUUCUGGCUACACACCCAUUUGCUGUAGGAGAAGGAGAGGGGUGGUUGUGUAUUCUGAGAAGUUUUUACCAGGUUAAGCCCAAUUCAACCCUCUGUUCCUCUUUGAGCCUUGUGUUUCCUGCAGUACCUCCUCAUCGGGCCUCUUGGGGUCUUGAGGCAUAUGGGGGCAAUUACAGUUGCAUCACGGGUACAGGUAAUGGCAUUGAUUAUGGGAGAUUGCCUGAAGCUGAUUGCAGUAGUAACAUAACCAUUAAUUACACUUGUGGAUGUGUGGAGCCAAAAGAGUGCUGAGACCCAUUCUUAGAGGAGAAUGGCAAGGUACGUGUGGUCUGACCAGUUUGAUAAUUCCACUGACCAUUGUUGAUGUUACUGCUGAACAGCUGUUGGGUUCUGUAUCCAGGGGACCUGAAAACAUUCCAUCCCAUGGGAGACAUAGACGUAGUGCUCCAUGGACAGAGGAUGUAGUUGACAUCAUGAGUUUCAGGCCUUGGGUAGGAAUGAUGGACUCUGGCACUUACUAACUAUUAUGGGUCCAGCCAUGGUGGAUGCUAGACAGACUGCUUGGAUUAAUUAUAUCUACUAUAAUCAACAGCGUUUGGUGAAUUACUCCCGUGAUGCACUCACUGGUAUGUCUGAACAGCUUGAGGCCACAUUUGGGGUUUCCAGACAGAAUAGACUUGCCUUGGAUAUGCUUCUUGCCAGUCAGGGGGACGUCUGCAAGAUGUUCGGUAAACAAUGUUGCACGUAUAUUCCUAAUAAUACCAGUCCAGAUGGUGGUAUAUCUAAGGCGGGCUUGAUGCACUAUCUGCUAAGAUGAGGUCCACAGAGGGGGUGGAGGAGUCUGUUCUCUUGGCCUGGUUUGGUAAGUACACUGGUAUGAUGGUUACUGGAUUUCUGACCCUAAUUCUUGUAUUAUUUGUUAUUGAUGUGAUGUGCUGCUUGCAUCAUACUGUGUUUUAAGAAGUCUGUUACAGAUGUGAUGAAGGCUUCAGGGAGGAUGGGACUGACUGAGGAUGACACAUGGUAUGCUGGGUGAGGUAGUAGAAUGAUUUUACACCACCACAGUUCCUUGUUAUACAUUUUUAUGAUAGGUUUUCUUUCCAGUAUGUUUGUUCUCCCUGUUGUGAAGGUUUGGAGUCCCUGGGUGGCAAGGAGCCCACCUGGUACAGGAUAGGAGUAGCUGAGAGGGCCAGAUGGUUUCUAAUAAUUCUUUACUCUGUUUUCCAUGAAUAAAGUUUUAUCCUACAUCUUACAUGUCAAUAACAAUAAAGUUUUAUCCUGUUUUUGAUAAGUGACACCCUUGUGGGUGACAAAAGGGGGAAACAAAAGCAUACAACAAAGGCAUAUAUCACUUGUUAUUAAUAAUAAACUUUUUAUUAUUUUCAUGAAAUGCUAUGACUGCUGAAAUAAAGGAUAAUGAGUGACACCCUAGGGGGACUUAAAUUUCACACAAUUUUCUUUUGUUCUGUUUAUGAAUGAGCUGUUCUCUUUUGACAUGAAGGUAGUUUAAACUUUGUAACUGUUAUAUGAUUCAUUGUUGAAUUUGUGUUCACACCCUUGGGGUUAUUUUACAUUAUAGCCAUUACCAUAUAUAAGAUUGAAUAUUAUCUGCUGUUGCCUUGUGUGGAUGUAUGUAUGUGUUAUGCUACCUAGCUGAUUUGAAACAUUGUUAAAAGUAUCAGGGCCAUGGGACUUUCUCAUGAUGGAAAAAUACAGAGUAGCAUGAAGACUAACUGUUCAAAUGAGUUAGAAGGGAGGGAACAUUCAGAGCGGGGUGUUGCGAGAACAAGCGGUCUUUUGUUAGAUAACAGGAGCCAGGUGGGAGAUAACGGUAUGGAGCAUGAGACCCAUCUUUCAGUUUUUGCAGCCAUUUUAGUAGGGGGAUCCAGUUGCUUAUAUUGAUUAAGCUUCUCCAUUGUAUGUCGUGUCCCAUCUGGGAUGGGAAGAGGGGGCAUUGCGGUCUUUGUGGGCCAUUUCCGUAUAGACUUACUUAGUUUAGGCUAUUUUUCCUUUUUGGAUUAUAUUUUCGUUUUUGUUUGGAGUAAUGUACCUGGACUAUAUCACAUCUCUUAGGAGAUGUGAAGAGAGGGAAUCACAACUUUUUCCUGCUGGAAAAAGUUGGCUUAUGUGGACAAUCAUUUUAUUUUUAUUUUGAGCUGUUCUCCGCUCUGUUAAAUGAGGGUUGUAAGUUCCUAGGUGGCUGGUAGCCAACUUAGUACAUAGUGGGAUUGAAUGGAGAACAUGAUGGUAAUACAUAUAUCUAUUUCUGUUUAAUACCGUGCCUUAUUUCAUAGCCCCUUUGGGAAAAGUUUUCUUUUGUAUCAGAAUCUAGUUAGGUUGUGUCACGUCUCUGGGGAGACGUGAAGAGAGGGAUUUGUAGAGGACUGCUAAUUCUUAUGUAGGUGACAUUACACUACUAUAGCUGGGACAACGUAUUUUCAUAGUAAAACAGGUUGGGCCCCAUACAGGAUAUCUCGCACACACACACUCACUUAGAUCAUCCAGAACACUGACACAACAGGAUACUCCUAGCCACAGGUGCUAGCCGGUAGUUCGGCCACAACUCCACUGAAGAUGGGGACGCACACACAUUACACACGGACUCUUGAGGACAGGACAGGGACGCAUACGCUCUUACACACUGACCCCAGAAGACAGGGACGACGCACAUACAGUACACACAUAGCUGCCGAGGACACCCAGAUAAGACACCCACAGAUUGGCAGAAAGCCUAGACUUAGAGACAAACUAGCACACACACAUAUUCUCCCUCCCAGCCGAACAUUGUGUGACUGAAGAUAGCGCACACACCAGAUCUCCUUUUCAGCUGAACAUGGUGUGACGACCAAGAACAGGCAUGGCAGGAUUCUACGAUGACGGACAGACAACAGAGCCAAUGCCGGAUGACUACACCCCAGCCUGAUCCAAUCCGAAGAUCCGAUCUCCUAGAAAUCAACCUACUUUCUGUUGUGUAUAUGAAGCUUGUACUCACUGUUAGCAAGGUUCCUUUCUGCUAGUCUCUGAUGAGCUAACAGAGGGGCCCGUAUAUACGCUGUACCAGAUAUCUUUACUCUGAAUAAACCUGUCGCUUGUCGUACAAUCUAC
Oncorhynchus gorbuscha (pink salmon) is the source of this 4709-nucleotide long non-coding RNA. RefSeq lists it as uncharacterized. The record is from RefSeq and is a predicted model, not a curated record. The transcript is spliced from 2 exons. NCBI's taxonomy places the organism in Eukaryota, Metazoa, Chordata, Actinopteri, Salmoniformes, Salmonidae.